Molecule: ribosomal RNA, 344 nt
Filed under: uncultured Chitinophagaceae bacterium
Lineage: Bacteria; Pseudomonadati; Bacteroidota; Chitinophagia; Chitinophagales; Chitinophagaceae
Description: bacterial SSU rRNA
Rfam family: Bacterial small subunit ribosomal RNA
Source: RNAcentral
AUCGGCUCAGGGGAGNCGCUGGCGGCAGGUCUAAUACAUGCAAGACAGUGGGGCAGCAGGGGUGUAGCAAUACAUUCGCUGGCGAUCGGCAAACGGGUGCGGAACACGUACACAACCUUCCUCUAAGUGGGGGAUAGCCCGGGGAAACCCGGAUUAAUACCCCGUACAUAGUGAAGUGGCAUCACUUUAUUAUUAAAGCUUCGGCGCUAAGAGAUGGGUGUGCGGCUGAUUAGGUAGUUGGCGGGGUAAUAGCCCACCAAGCCUACGAUCAGUAACUGGUGUGAGAGCACGACCAGCCACACUGGGACUGAGACACGGCCCAGACUCCUACGGGAGGCAGCAGU